RNAcentral lists this ribosomal RNA (520 nucleotides) under uncultured bacterium. Its description in RNAcentral is "bacterial SSU rRNA". It matches the Rfam family "Bacterial small subunit ribosomal RNA", at positions 120 to 674 of the family's 1533-position model. The record is from RNAcentral.
GGGAACAUACCCUUUUCUACGGAAUAGCUCUGGGAAACUGGAAUUAAUACCGUAUACGCCCUACGGGGGAAAGAUUUAUCGGGGAAGGAUUGGCCCGCGUUGGAUUAGCUAGUUGGUGGGGUAAAGGCCUACCAAGGCGACGAUCCAUAGCUGGUCUGAGAGGAUGAUCAGCCACAUUGGGACUGAGACACGGCCCAAACUCCUACGGGAGGCAGCAGUGGGGAAUAUUGGACAAUGGGCGCAAGCCUGAUCCAGCCAUGCCGCGUGAGUGAUGAAGGCCUUAGGGUUGUAAAGCUCUUUCACCGGUGAAGAUAAUGACGGUAACCGGAGAAGAAGCCCCGGCUAACUUCGUGCCAGCAGCCGCGGUAAUACGAAGGGGGCUAGCGUUGUUCGGAAUUACUGGGCGUAAAGCGCACGUAGGCGGAUAUUUAAGUCAGGGGUGAAAUCCCAGAGCUCAACUCUGGAACUGCCUUUGAUACUGGGUAUCUUGAGUAUGGAAGAGGUAAGUGGAAUUGCGAGU